This 1944-nucleotide ribosomal RNA is filed under the name Acinetobacter baumannii ZWS1219. RNAcentral's name for it is "bacterial LSU rRNA". It matches the Rfam family "Bacterial large subunit ribosomal RNA", at positions 1000 to 2925 of the family's 2925-position model. The record is from RNAcentral. Lineage: Bacteria; Pseudomonadati; Pseudomonadota; Gammaproteobacteria; Moraxellales; Moraxellaceae.
AACGUCCGUAGUCAAGAGGAAAACAAUCCAGACCGCCAGCUAAGGCCCCAAAAUCAUAGUUAAGUGGGAAACGAUGUGGGAAGGCAUAGACAGCUAGGAGGUUGGCUUAGAAGCAGCCACCCUUUAAAGAAAGCGUAAUAGCUCACUAGUCGAGUCGGCCUGCGCGGAAGAUGUAACGGGGCUAAAACUAUGUGCCGAAGCUGCGGAUUUGACAUUAGUCAAGUGGUAGGGGAGCGUUCUGUAAGCCGAUGAAGGUGUAUUGAGAAGUAUGCUGGAGGUAUCAGAAGUGCGAAUGCUGACGUGAGUAACGACAAAACGGGUGAAAAACCCGUUCGCCGAAAGACCAAGGGUUCCAGUCCAACGUUAAUCGGGGCUGGGUGAGUCGACCCCUAAGGCGAGGCCGAAAGGCGUAGUCGAUGGGAAAAUGGUUAAUAUUCCAUUACUUCUGUGUAAUGCGAUGAGAGGACGGAGAAGGCUAAAUCAGCCUGGCGUUGGUUGUCCAGGUGAAAGGAUGUAGGCAUGUAUCUUAGGCAAAUCCGGGGUACUCUAUGCUGAGAUCUGAUAGCAAGCUGUACUUGUACAGCGAAGUGGUUGAUGCCAUGCUUCCAGGAAAAGUCUCUAAGCUUCAGUUACACAGGAAUCGUACCCGAAACCGACACAGGUGGUCAGGUCGAGUAGACCAAGGCGCUUGAGAGAACUCUGCUGAAGGAACUAGGCAAAAUGGUACCGUAACUUCGGGAGAAGGUACGCUGUUGUUGGUGAUGGAACUCGCUUCCUGAGCUGACGACAGCCGCAGAAACCAGGCCGCUGCAACUGUUUAUUAAAAACAUAGCACUCUGCAAACACGAAAGUGGACGUAUAGGGUGUGAUGCCUGCCCGGUGCUGGAAGGUUAAUUGAUGGGGUUAGCGUAAGCGAAGCUCUUGAUCGAAGCCCCAGUAAACGGCGGCCGUAACUAUAACGGUCCUAAGGUAGCGAAAUUCCUUGUCGGGUAAGUUCCGACCUGCACGAAUGGCAUAAUGAUGGCGGCGCUGUCUCCAGCAGAGGCUCAGUGAAAUCGAAAUCGCUGUGAAGAUGCAGUGUACCCGCGGCUAGACGGAAAGACCCCGUGAACCUUUACUGCAGCUUGACACUGAACUUUGACCUUACUUGUGUAGGAUAGGUGGGAGGCUUUGAAGCUGGAACGCUAGUUCCAGUGGAGCCGUCCUUGAAAUACCACCCUGGUAAUGUUGAGGUUCUAACUCUGUCCCGUGAUCCGGGACGAGGACCGUGUCUGGUGGGUAGUUUGACUGGGGCGGUCUCCUCCUAAAGAGUAACGGAGGAGUACGAAGGUGCGCUCAGCGUGGUCGGAAAUCACGCGUAGAGUAUAAAGGCAAAAGCGCGCUUAACUGCGAGACCCACAAGUCGAGCAGGUACGAAAGUAGGUCUUAGUGAUCCGGUGGUUCUGUAUGGAAGGGCCAUCGCUCAACGGAUAAAAGGUACUCUGGGGAUAACAGGCUGAUACCGCCCAAGAGUUCAUAUCGACGGCGGUGUUUGGCACCUCGAUGUCGGCUCAUCUCAUCCUGGGGCUGAAGCAGGUCCCAAGGGUAUGGCUGUUCGCCAUUUAAAGAGGUACGCGAGCUGGGUUUAGAACGUCGUGAGACAGUUCGGUCCCUAUCUACCGUGGGCGCUGGAAAUUUGAGAGGAUCUGCUCCUAGUACGAGAGGACCAGAGUGGACGAACCUCUGGUGUACCGGUUGUGACGCCAGUCGCAUCGCCGGGUAGCUAUGUUCGGAAGGGAUAACCGCUGAAAGCAUCUAAGCGGGAAGCCUACCUCAAGAUAAGAUUUCCCUAGGACUUUAUGUCCUCUAAAGAGCCGUUCGAGACUAGGACGUUGAUAGGUUGGAUGUGGAAGCAUAGUGAUAUGUGAAGCUGACCAAUACUAAUUGCUCGUGAGGCUUGACUAU